RNAcentral lists this long non-coding RNA (278 nucleotides) under Elaeis guineensis (African oil palm). RNAcentral's name for it is "long non-coding RNA (EGUI_LNC024093)". Lineage: Eukaryota; Viridiplantae; Streptophyta; Magnoliopsida; Arecales; Arecaceae. The record is from RNAcentral.
CCAUGUUCUCAAUAGUGGUGAUCGUCGAUCCACACUCAAGUAUCGAGUUCUAAACUCAAAUUAGAAGUAGAUGUGAUCUACUACUCACAUGCAUGCAUGCUGAUUUUAUCUUCAGUAUUUUUUAGAUUUUAUAUGCAACAUAACAUGUCAUAGAUCCUAGAGUAGGUUGAUUUGAUGAUUAGAUCAUAUGUAUGUUAGAUUAAUUUGAUUAAUCUAAUUAUCUUUCACUGUAAUUUUUUUGAAAAAAUUUUGACAUACAUGCAUGAAAUCGCCUAUGC